AAUGCAUAGGAAUUUGCCUUGAAGUGGGGGAUAGCCCGGAGAAAUCCGGAUUAAUACCGCAUAUGCUCUACGGAGCAAAGUGGGCCUCUGAUUUAAGCUCAUGCUUUGAGAUAAGCCUAUGUCGGAUUAGCUUGUUGGUGGGGUAAAGGCCUACCAAGGCGACGAUCCGUAGCUGGUUUGAGAGGAUGAUCAGCCACACUGGGACUGAGACACGGCCCAG
RNAcentral lists this ribosomal RNA (220 nucleotides) under uncultured bacterium. RNAcentral describes it as "partial 16S ribosomal RNA". It matches the Rfam family "Bacterial small subunit ribosomal RNA", at positions 112 to 334 of the family's 1533-position model. The record is from RNAcentral.